Molecule: ribosomal RNA, 511 nt
Filed under: uncultured bacterium
Lineage: Bacteria
Description: partial 16S ribosomal RNA
Rfam family: Bacterial small subunit ribosomal RNA
Source: RNAcentral
AUUGAACGCUGGCGGCAUGCCUUACACAUGCAAGUCGAACGGCAGCAUGUUGUGUAGCAAUACACAAUGAUGGCGAGUGGCGAACGGGUGAGUAAUACAUCGGAACGUGCCCUUUAGUGGGGGAUAAUCCAGGGAAACUUGGACUAAUACCGCAUACGAUCUACGGAUGAAAGUUGGGGAUUCGCAAGAACCUGACGCUAUUGGAUCGGCCGAUGUCAGAUUAUGGUAGUUGGUGGGGUAAAAGCCUACCAAGCCUACGAUCUGUGGCUGGUCUGAGAGGACGAUCAGCCACACUGGGACUGAGACACGGCCCAGACUCCUACGGGAGGCAGCAGUGGGGAAUUUUGGACAAUGGGGGAAACCCUGAUCCAGCGAUGCCGCGUGAGUGAUGAAGGCCUUCGGGUUGUAAAACUCUUUCGGACGGGAAGAAAUCUUUGCGGUGAAUAGCCGUAGAGGAUGACGGUACCGUAAGAAGAAGCACCGGCUAACUACGUGCCAGCAGCCGCCGUAA